CUGCUGGCAGCUUGAUUUGAUGGCUGAGUGUUUGUGUUUGUAGGAACGAAAAGGCAGCUCAACUCCCCUCCACCUCCUCGUUAACCAGGGACAGCAGUGACCCUGAAACCCGGAGCAGCGUGGGAACAGACCCACACAGAAUUAUGGGAAAGGAGGUUAAAGAGGAGCAAAAUCGUCUGAAGGGGUUUACGGCCGGGAGAGACGCCGAGCGCUACGGGAAGCCCGCAGACAGCCGGGAUGCCUGUGCCAGCGAUGUCCCCCUCAAACUCCACACAGCCACUGAAAGUGGGAACGCGUCGAGGCCCGAGUCCAGCGGCCACACACCGCUCCACACGCAACUCCAGAAGUUCACCGUUUCUGCAGACAAGGUGCCUAUUUAUUACUUCACCAUUACACAAGACUUACACAAUCGCUUAUGCUGCG
Molecule: long non-coding RNA, 423 nt
Filed under: Sinocyclocheilus anshuiensis
Lineage: Eukaryota; Metazoa; Chordata; Actinopteri; Cypriniformes; Cyprinidae
Description: lncRNA (ENSSANG00000009962.1)
Source: RNAcentral